RNAcentral lists this ribosomal RNA (531 nucleotides) under uncultured bacterium. RNAcentral's name for it is "bacterial SSU rRNA". It matches the Rfam family "Bacterial small subunit ribosomal RNA", at positions 355 to 896 of the family's 1533-position model. The record is from RNAcentral.
UGGGGAAUAUUGCACAAUGGGCGAAAGCCUGAUGCAGCAACGCCGCGUGAGGGAUGACGGCCUUCGGGUUGUAAACCUCUUUUAGCAGGGAAGAAGCGAGAGUGACGGUACCUGCAGAAAAAGCGCCGGCUAACUACGUGCCAGCAGCCGCGGUAAUACGUAGGGCGCAAGCGUUAUCCGGAAUUAUUGGGCGUAAAGAGCUCGUAGGCGGUUUGUCGCGUCUGCUGUGAAAUCCCGAGGCUCAACCUCGGGCCUGCAGUGGGUACGGGCAGACUAGAGUGCGGUAGGGGAGAUUGGAAUUCCUGGUGUAGCGGUGGAAUGCGCAGAUAUCAGGAGGAACACCGAUGGCGAAGGCAGAUCUCUGGGCCGUAACUGACGCUGAGGAGCGAAAGGGUGGGGAGCAAACAGGCUUAGAUACCCUGGUAGUCCACCCCGUAAACGUUGGGAACUAGUUGUGGGGUCCAUUCCACGGAUUCCGUGACGCAGCUAACGCAUUAAGUUCCCCGCCUGGGGAGUACGGCCGCAAGGCUA